This 433-nucleotide ribosomal RNA is filed under the name uncultured bacterium. RNAcentral describes it as "partial 16S ribosomal RNA". It matches the Rfam family "Bacterial small subunit ribosomal RNA", at positions 29 to 507 of the family's 1533-position model. The record is from RNAcentral.
AACGAACGCUGGCGGCAUGCCUAACACAUGCAAGUCGAACGAGACCUUCGGGUCUAGUGGCGCACGGGUGCGUAACGCGUGGGAACCUGCCCUUAGGUUCGGUAUAACUCCCCGAAAGGGGUGCUAAUACCGGAUAAUGUCUUCGGACCAAAGAUUUAUCGCCUUUGGAUGGGCCCGCGCUGGAUUAGCUAGUUGGUAGGGUAAAAGCCUACCAAGGCGACGAUCCAUAGCUGGUCUGAGAGGAUGAUCAGCCACACUGGGACUGAGACACGGCCCAGACUCCUACGGGAGGCAGCAGUGGGGAAUAUUGGACAAUGGGCGAAAGCCUGAUCCAGCAAUGCCGCGUGAGUGAUGAAGGCCUUAGGGUUGUAAAGCUCUUUUACCCGGGAUGAUAAUGACAGUACCGGGAGAAUAAGCUCCGGCUAACUCCGUG